GUGGCUGUAGCUCAGUUUGGUAGAGCACUGGAUUGUGGCUCCGGUGGUCGUGGGUUCGAGUCCCAUCAGUCACCCCA
RNAcentral lists this transfer RNA (77 nucleotides) under Achromatium sp. WMS2. Its description in RNAcentral is "tRNA-His". It matches the Rfam family "tRNA". From Rfam's summary of the family: Transfer RNA (tRNA) molecules are approximately 80 nucleotides in length. Their secondary structure includes four short double-helical elements and three loops (D, anti-codon, and T loops). Further hydrogen bonds mediate the characteristic L-shaped molecular structure. tRNAs have two regions of fundamental functional importance: the anti-codon, which is responsible for specific mRNA codon recognition, and the 3' end, to which the tRNAs corresponding amino acid is attached (by aminoacyl-tRNA synthetases). tRNAs cope with the degeneracy of the genetic code in two manners: having more than one tRNA (with a specific anti-codon) for a particular amino acid; and 'wobble' base-pairing, i.e. permitting non-standard base-pairing at the 3rd anti-codon position. Lineage: Bacteria; Pseudomonadati; Pseudomonadota; Gammaproteobacteria; Thiotrichales; Thiotrichaceae. The record is from RNAcentral.